This 433-nucleotide ribosomal RNA is filed under the name uncultured bacterium. Its description in RNAcentral is "bacterial SSU rRNA". It matches the Rfam family "Bacterial small subunit ribosomal RNA", at positions 29 to 507 of the family's 1533-position model. The record is from RNAcentral.
AGCGAACGCUGGCGGCAGGCCUAACACAUGCAAGUCGAACGGAUCCUUCGGGAUUAGUGGCGGACGGGUGAGUAACACGUGGGAACGUGCCUUUUGGUUCGGAACAACGCAGAGAAAUUUGCGCUAAUACCGAAUGUGCCCUUCGGGGGAAAGAUUUAUCGCCAUUAGAGCGGCCCGCGUCUGAUUAGCUAGUUGGUGAGGUAAAGGCUCACCAAGGCUACGAUCAGUAGCUGGUCUGAGAGGAUGAUCAGCCACAUUGGGACUGAGACACGGCCCAAACUCCUACGGGAGGCAGCAGUGGGGAAUCUUGCGCAAUGGGCGAAAGCCUGACGCAGCCAUGCCGCGUGAAUGAUGAAGGUCUUAGGAUUGUAAAAUUCUUUCACCGGGGACGAUAAUGACGGUACCCGGAGAAGAAGCCCCGGCUAACUUCGUG